GUGUCAGAGGAGGAGCGGUGGCAGGGAAGAGCUGCAGCUUCUGUCUCCGCCCCGGGUAGACGGCGAGAGGGGAACAGAGAGGGCUGCUCUCUCCCCCUCUCACCAUCCAUGACUCCCGGUGGAAGAUGCGGCGGCCGCCGGGGACUCGGUGCUCAGAGCCUCCAAUGGAGAGGGGGAGGGAGCGGCUGAACAUGUAGGGAAGCGGGGGAAGGAGAAAGGUCUGUGUCCCCGCCUCAACAUGGCUGAGAACCCUGGCAGCGUGAAGACGGCGAAAGUGUGGCGGGAGGCAGCGCUGCGCUGCAGGAAACUCCGCAGCAACUUGCGGCAGCUCACCGUGUCCAGCCAGAGCAGCCAGAACCUCACCCUGCCGGAGAACAUCAAGCAGAUCCACAUCCUCAACCUGGCCAACAACUCGCUGCAGGAGCUCCCCGAGGGGCUGGACAGCUCGCUCACCAACCUGCGGGCGCUCAUCCUGCGGAGGAACCGCUUCUGCCGCCUGCCGCCGCCCCUCCCGGCCCUCCGGCACCUGGACGAGCUGGACCUGGGCCACAACUGCCUAGCCCAGCUGGCCGGCGAGCUGGGCGGCCUGCAGCGCCUCCGCAAGCUCUGCCUGAGCCACAACAAGCUGCAGCUCCUGCCGCCCGAGAUCGGCGACCUGGGCGGCCUGGAGGAGCUGGACGUCAGCUUCAACGAGCUGGGCCAGCUGCCCAGCACCUUCGGCCGGCUGCAGCGGCUCCGCACCCUGGACGUGGACCACAACAAGCUGACCCACUUCCCCCCGCAGAUCCUGCACCUCGGCGAGCUGGAAGAGCUGGACUUCUCCGGCAACAGCAUCCGCGUCCUGCCCCAGGAGAUCCUGAUGCUGCGCUCGGUGAAAAUCCUCUGGCUCAGCGGCCUCAAGCUGUCGUGCCUGCCGGACACCUUCUGCAGGCUCACCGCCCUGGAGAGCCUCAUGCUGGACAACAACGCCUUGCACUCCCUGCCGCCCAGCUUCGGCGACCUGGGGCGCCUCAAGAUGAUCAACCUGUCCUCCAACCGCUUCGAGGACUUCCCGGCUGUCCUCCUGGAGCUGGUGAAUUUGGAGGAGCUGUACCUGAGCCGAAACCGGCUGUCCGCCAUCCCGCCCAAGAUCUCCAACAUCAGCAGGCUGGCCACCCUGUGGCUGGAUAACAACAGGGUGAGGUACCUGCCCGACUCCAUCGUGGAGCUGGUCCACCUGGAAGAACUGGUCCUGCAGGGGAACCAGAUCGCCAUCCUCCCCGAUUCGUUUGGGAAGCUCUCCAAAGUCAGCCUGUGGAAAAUCAAGGACAACCCUUUGAUCCAGCCGCCCUAUGAAGUCUGUAUGAAGGGGAUCCCCUACAUAGCGGCCUAUCAGAAAGAGCUAGCCCUGUCCCAGCCUGCGGUAAAACCUAGGCUGAAACUGGUACUGAUGGGCUCUAAAUGCGCUGGCAAGACAUCACUCAGACAGUGUCUGGUCGGAAACCUGUCAAGUCUCCCUGCAAUCCAUGGCAAAGGAAUCGAGGUGACUCAGUGGGUGGCUGAUGCUGAGAAGAAUUUAACCUUCAUUGUCUACGAUUUGGCUGGGGACCAGAACUAUGAUCUUAUCCAGCCGUUCUUUCUUUCUCCUGGCGCUCUUUAUGUCCUUGUAGUUAGUUUGAAAGCUUAUGUCUCUGGUCGGUUUUAUGAAUUGGUUGGGUAUUUCUUGCACCUACUUGGGGCCAGGGUCCCUCAUGGCGUUGUGUGUGUGGUGGGCGCACAUGUGGACCAGUGCAAUGAGAAAGAAGUGGAGGAAAAAUGCCUGGACAUCCAUCAUCAAAUUGCCCUCCAAGAGAAGCGAGACGUUGAGGUCAUGCAGGCUGUGGCCGAGAAGGUGGACGGGGCUCUAGGGCAGGAGUUUGACCUGCGAGCUACUAACCCACAUGCACCUUUUUAUGGAGUCUCUGAUAAGAAUCUGAGGAGGAAGAAGGCCCAGGUACAAUACCUAUUGAACAACCGCCUUCAGAUACUAUCCCCAGUUAUUACUGUGAGCUGUCAGGAAGACCACAUUGGAAUUAACCGCUUGAAGGACAAGUUGCUUUCUGUGGCUGAGCACCGGGAGAUUUUCCCUAAUCUGCACCGGAUCUUGCCCAAAUCCUGGCAAAGGUUGGAAGAGCUCCAUUAUAAACCCCAGGAGCUCUGGCUUUCCUGGUGGGACUCGGCCAGACUGGGAUUACAAGCUGGUCUUACCGAAGACCGACUCCAAAGCGCCCUGUCCUACCUACACGAAAGUGGUAAACUGCUGUAUUUUGAGGACAGUUUGACUCUCAAAGAGUGUGUCUUUCACAACUUGACCAAGCUGAUCGACAUCCUGAAUGUCUUCUUCCAGCGCGAUGCCUCAGUUCUGCUCCAGAAGCUCUUGGCAGAUGCCAAUAUUGAUGAGCUGAGGGCCACACAACUCCACCAUUACGUGGAGGGGUUCCUGCUUCAUGGACUGCUCCCUCUGCAUAUUAUUCGACUGCUUCUGAAGCCACACAUCAAAACUCAGCAGGAUCUCCAUCUGAUUCUGGAACUACUGGAGAAGAUGGGACUUUGUUACUGCCUCAACAAACCCAAAAUUAAGCCUCUAAAUGGUGCGGCGGUUUGGUUCAAAUUCCCCUGUUAUGUGAAAAAUGAAGUUCCUCAUGCAGAAGCCUGGAUCAAUGGGUCUAACCUCUCUGGGCAACCGUUUGCAAUUGAACAGCUCCAAGUGGAAUACAGUUUUCCUUUUUUGUUCCCGCCAGGCCUAUUUGCCAGAUAUAGCGUCCAGAUCAACUCUCAUGUUGUACAGCGGUCAGAUGGCAAGUACCAGAUCUUUGCUUACAGGGGCAAGGUUCCAGUGGUGAUCAGUUACAGACCAACCCAAAGUAGUUUGCAAGCAGACACCUUAUCUAUUGCUAGUCAUGCUUCAUUGCCAAAUAUUUGGACAGCAUGGCAAGCCAUAAUCCCUCUGGUGGAAGAACUAAACGUGCUCCUCCAGGAAUGGCCGGGGUUAUACUUCACUGUGCAUGUCCUGUGCUCCAAGUGCCUUAAAAGAGGGUCCUCAAAUCCUCAUACCUUUCCAGGGGAGCUCUUGACCCAAUCCAGGCCGGAAGGAGUGACUGAGAUCAUCUGUCCCAAAAAUGGGAGUGAGCGUGUGGAUGUGGCUCUGGUUUAUCCCCCGACUCCCACUGUGAUCAGUCCCUGCUGUAAGUGAGCAGUGGGCCUCCCUGCUAGUCCUCAUCAGAAACGAUACCUUUAAAAUUCUGUUCAAAUAUUUGGCAGACAACAAGGUUUUGGCAAGAAUAAGCAUUUUUUUAAUGAAUCCAGCAUAAAGAAGAUGCUUCCAGUUGAUACUUGUACUGAUUUAAUCUCCUCGGUUUGAUCAUUGUUCACUCAAAGUAAUGGUCACAAUAGUCCACUGACAUCAGGAAAUAUUGACAGACACUGCCGUGCCAGGCUCCCACUGCCCCCAGUGAAGCUGGCUGCAGAAGAACCAAACCAAAGAGCAGAAAGGGCUUGUGUCAGUAGAGGACUCCACUCUAAAUUGAAGGUUGUAGUGUCCCACUGACUCAAGUUAGGUGGAAAGAUACUCCAGGGUUUCUGUCUACCAUGACUGUGCAUCAGAAAGCUCCACGCAUGGAAAGGAUUUUUACUUGGCCUGAAAUUCUUUAAACUUCCAGCCAAGUGGAUGCAUUCUGGUUGAUAUUGAGCUGGAGUGUUUGUGACCAGUCGUGGAAUGUCUAUUUUCCUUGGAUAUGUGGAAGGAAAGAGCUAACCUGCAGAAGCUCUAAAACAAUGGAUUCCAAGCAGCUCCAUGAUGGGCACAGGACAUUGGAAGUAUUGCACCUGACUGAACGACUAAUUGUCUACACAAAGCAUAGAGAGAGGUUUUCUCGUCCAUUCUAAGCAGUCCUCAUCUGGAUGUGGAGCAAGGGAUUUUCAUCAUUUGAAAGCAAGUUGACCUGAUACACCCAUUCUUCCAACGAAUAGUGUAGACGCAGGGUUUCCACCACUUAUUUUUGGAACCGGUGGCUCCUCAGGGAUUUUUUUUUGCAGUGUUUUUCUAAAGCCAUACUUUCAGUGUUGUCUAAAGGCUGGAGGAAUUAAAUGCCAAACGCGAUUGUUCUGCCCUUGAGUCUGAGGCACAGAUGUCACUGAGUCUGUGUAAGCACAUCAGCACUAUUUUCUUCUUUAAACCCACUGAAACAUUUAAUUUAGAGUUUUCAAGGAACUGUUUGUGCAAUACUCGGUGUGAUAAAGUAAUCCUAUUCACUUUGUGUUAUAUUCACCCUUCCCCUGAAUCACAGUUGAGCGAGACCUCCAAUUGAUCCUGAUCUAUCCGUCAGAUCUCCUUACGGACAAAGGAUUAGGUUAAAGCUGCAAGCUCCCACUGUUUCUAUAUAUUUGUUCAGGGGUAUUCAUUAAAAUAGGGUCUUGGGGAACAAGAGCUGUUUGGAAGAUGCAUUGUUUUUUUACAAAAAAAUAUCUCAAACAGCACAUACAAAAUCUACAUUAUUCUUUCAGCCUUUCUGUACCCUAUCAAUGUAUGCUCUGCCCUUCUCUGUGGGAGCACUCUCAUCUCUGUGUCAGUAGGUUGUGUGUUCACGCCCCACUGCAGACCUUGAGCACAUAAUCCAGGCUGACACUCCAGUGCAGUGCCGAGGGAGUACUACACUGUCGGUUCAUCUUUCCAAUGAGGUGUUAAAAAGAGGCCCUUUCUGCCCUCCCUAUUGAAGAGAUGUGAAAGCACUAUUUGAAGAAGAGCAGGGAUGUUCUCUUGCUGUUCUUAAUCAACACCACCAAAAAAAAUUAACCUUGUUGUUCUUUUAAUUGUGGGAUCUUGCUGUGUGGCAAAAUAUUGGCUGUUUUUGCACACAAAACAGUGACUAUAUUUCUGAAAGUAUUCCGUUGAAUGUGAACCAUGUUGGGACAUUAAGCAUGAUAAGACAAUUUAGAAAGACAAGAAGACAAUUACUUUCUGCUGCAAAAGGCUUUUCAAAGUUGUGCAUCUUCAAAGCCAUUUUUUAAAAAAUGAAUACAUCUGGAAGGAAGAAGGAAAAUCCAUGCAGCUUACAACUAUUUUAUUUUUUGUGUUGCUAAUAAGCGUAUUGUGAUGGAACUGAAACAUUUGCACAUCAAGUCACCUUGGAUAAAUGACACUUAUUAAAAAGAUCAGUGGAAAA
Molecule: RNA transcript, 5180 nt
Organism: Carcharodon carcharias (great white shark)
Lineage: Eukaryota; Metazoa; Chordata; Chondrichthyes; Lamniformes; Lamnidae
Gene: mfhas1
Gene name: malignant fibrous histiocytoma amplified sequence 1
Exons: 6
Source: RefSeq, a predicted model, not a curated record